Acromyrmex echinatior (Panamanian leafcutter ant) is the source of this 887-nucleotide long non-coding RNA. RefSeq lists it as uncharacterized. NCBI's taxonomy places the organism in Eukaryota, Metazoa, Arthropoda, Insecta, Hymenoptera, Formicidae. The record is from RefSeq and is a predicted model, not a curated record.
CGUACCUGGAAGUAAAUUAAUAUAAUACAUACAACAUGUUGAUGAACGUUACCUUGAUCCCGUUCAUACUCGGGAUUUUCGUAAACAUCUCACAAUAUUCGUAUUUUGAUCUGGAAUAUCUGUAUAUGUUGAACCAAACCAAGACAGAAUACGGAGAAAUUAUCAAUUCUACGGAAUUAACUUCUACAAUAAUAUGUCAACCCUUGGCAAAUGAAGAGCUUCGCUGUUAUUUGAAUGACGUCAUGAUCAUAACUUCAAACUAUACUAAUUUUAAUGAUAGAAUCACGACGAGUAAUCUAAUCGAAGUUGGACACUGAUUCGAUAUGAAAUUCGGUGAUCGUGGUGUAAUGUCUGUGAACACAGAACUCGGCUGGGGAGAUGGUCAAUAAGAAUCUUAUUAUAUAUGAUGUUAAUCAAUUCAACAUGGAUAUUGAUACAUCAGUUCAAACCUUACCAUUGGGGUUCCACUGAGACAGAAAGUACACCGAUAGGCUUUUGCACAAUUACAUACAAGAUGAAUAUGAAAUAUUGGAAGGAAGACGCAAAACAGGAAACAGGCUCGAAUUUUCAAAUUAAAUUGUUUAAGAAUUUUUCUAAUCAAAAGGAUAUAGCGUUAAAAGAUUUACAUAUUGUGAAGAAUAGGAAAGACUGCAAUUAUUCAAGACAUUUAAUGAUUAUUUAAAUGGCGGAAAAGUGACUAAAUAUGUUCAUACAAUAGAAGUGAUCGAUAACAAAUUAAGAAUGUUCACCACACUGGAUGGACAACGACCACUUAAUCCACAAAAUUCAUCAAAGAUCGUUUCAUCAAACCUCUACAUUUACUCAAAUAACGCAACUAAAUCUGAUUAAUGUUAGACCUAAAAAAACAAUAACAUUUAUUGAUGCUC